This 421-nucleotide ribosomal RNA is filed under the name uncultured Alphaproteobacteria bacterium. RNAcentral describes it as "bacterial SSU rRNA". It matches the Rfam family "Bacterial small subunit ribosomal RNA", at positions 41 to 496 of the family's 1533-position model. The record is from RNAcentral. Lineage: Bacteria; Pseudomonadati; Pseudomonadota; Alphaproteobacteria.
UGCAUGCUUUAUACAUGCAAGUCGAACGAAGGCCCUAGCUUGCUAGGUGUCCUUAGUGGCGCACGGGUGAGUAACACGUGGGAACAUACCUCAUAGUACGGAAUAACUGCGGGAAACUGUAGCUAAUACCGUAUAUUCCAGAAAUGGGAAAGAUUUAUCGCUAUGAGAUUGGCCCGCGCAAGAUUAGCUUGUUGGUAAGGUAACGGCUUACCAAGGCUCCGAUCUUUAGCUGGUUUGAGAGGAUGAUCAGCCACACUGGGACUGAGACACGGCCCAGACUCCUACGGGAGGCAGCAGUAGGGAAUAUUGGACAAUGGGGGAAACCCUGAUCCAGCAAUGCAGCGUGAGUGACGAAGGCCUUAGGGUUGUAAAACUCUUUCAUCGGUGAGGAUAAUGACAGUAGCCGAAGAAGAAGGACCGG